RNAcentral lists this ribosomal RNA (469 nucleotides) under uncultured bacterium. RNAcentral describes it as "partial 16S ribosomal RNA". It matches the Rfam family "Bacterial small subunit ribosomal RNA", at positions 28 to 507 of the family's 1533-position model. The record is from RNAcentral.
GACGAACGCUGGCGGCGUGCUUAACACAUGCAAGUCGAACGGAAAGGCCCUGCUUGCAGGGUGCUCGAGUGGCGAACGGGUGAGUAACACGUGGGUGAUCUGCCCCCUACUUUGGGAUAAGCCUGGGAAACUGGGUCUAAUACUGGAUAGGACCAUGCUGUAGGUGGUGUGGUGGAAAGAUUAGUUUCGGUAGGGGAUGAGCUCGCGGCCUAUCAGCUUGUUGGUGGGGUAAUGGCCUACCAAGGCGUCGACGGGUAGCCGGCCUGAGAGGGUGGACGGCACCAUCGAGACUGAGACGCGACGCAGACGCCGGCGGUAGGCAGCAGUGGGGAAUAUUGUGACAGAGGCGCAAGCCGGAUGUGGCGACGGCGCGUGGGGCGUGACGGCCUGCUGGUUGUGAACAACAAUUGUCCAUGACGAUGUGCUUGUGGUGACGGUAGUGGAAGAAGAAGCACCGGCUAACUACGUG